AGAGUUUGAUCAUGGCUCAGAACGAACGCUGGCGGCGUGGAUAAGACAUGCAAGUCGAACGAGGUAUUACUGGUAGCAAUAUUAGUGGUACUUAGUGGCGCAAGGGUGCGUAACACGUGGGCAACCUGCCCUGAAGUGGGGGAUAGCCCGCCGAAAGGCGGAUUAAUACCGCAUGUGGCUAGAGGAGACAUCUCCUUGACGCCAAAGCCGGGGCAACCUGGCGCUUCUGGAUGGGCCCGCGGCCUAUCAGCUAGUUGGUGAGGUAACGGCUCACCAAGGCUAUGACGGGUAGCUGGUCUGAGAGGACGACCAGCCACACUGGAACUGAGACACGGUCCAGACACCUACGGGUGGCAGCAGUCGAGAAUUUUUCUCAAUGGGGGCAACCCUGAAGGAGCGACGCCGCGUGGAGGAUGAAAGGUCUUCGGAUUGUAAACUCCUGUCAUUGGUGAACAAGAUUGCCGGUUAACUGCCGGUUAAUUUGAUAGUAGCCGAAGAGGAAGAGACGGCUAACUCUGUGCCAGCAGCCGCGGUAAUACAGAGGUCUCGAGCGUUGUUCGGAUUCAUUGGGCGUAAAGGGUGCGUAGGCGGCGAGGCAAGUCUGAUGUGAAAUCCCGGGGCUCAACUCCGGAACUGCAUUGGAUACUGCCUUGCUCGAGUACUGGAGAGGAGACUGGAAUUUACGGUGUAGCAGUGAAAUGCGUAGAGAUCGUAAGGAAGACCAGUGGCGAAGGCGAGUCUCUGGACAGUUACUGACGCUGAGGCACGAAGGCCAGGGGAGCAAACGGGAUUAGAUACCCUAGUAGUCC
Molecule: ribosomal RNA, 809 nt
Filed under: uncultured bacterium
Lineage: Bacteria
Description: bacterial SSU rRNA
Rfam family: Bacterial small subunit ribosomal RNA
Source: RNAcentral